RNA transcript from Elaeis guineensis (African oil palm), 1483 nucleotides. It is a transcript of the gene named phytanoyl-CoA dioxygenase, with no coding region annotated. The record is from RefSeq and is a predicted model, not a curated record. Lineage: Eukaryota; Viridiplantae; Streptophyta; Magnoliopsida; Arecales; Arecaceae.
GCCGUGAUAAAUACCUUGUGCGAUCCAAGGAUCUCCCUUUUUCUGGCCCCUUUCGAACCCAACCCGGAGGUAUAUCUUUGACCUUAUUCCUUGUUGCCGUGAUAAAUACCUUGAUACGAUCCAAAAAUCUCCCCUCCCCAAAAUCACUCGAUACUCGAUAGCGCAUAUUCUUGACGGCAAGGGCGAUGGGCAUCGUCGGGAAUCUCAGUUCCGAUCAACUCAACUUCUUCAAUUCCAAUGGGUAUCUGGUGCUCGAGUCCUUCUCCAGCCCGGAAGAGGUAAAAGAGAUGAGGGAUAGGAUGGCCGAGCUGCUCCAAGGGUUCGACAGCUCCAACACUUCGAUCUUCUCUACCAUCAACCAGCAAAAGUUGACGGACGAUUACUUCUUCGAGAGUGCGGAGAAGAUCUCCUUUUUCUUUGAGGAAAAGGCAUUUGGAGAUGAUGGAUGCUUGAAACAGCCAAAAGAAUUGUCUAUUAAUAAAGUCGGCCAUGCUCUGCAUGAACUUGAUCCUGUUUUCAAAAAAAAUUCUUCGUCAGAGAAAAUUUCUAGUAUGCUUUUCUCAUUGGGUUACAAGAGACCAGUGGUUAUUCAGUCGAUGUACAUAUUUAAGCAACCAGGCAUUGGUGGAGAAGUGGUACCUCACCAGGAUAACUCAUUUCUCUACACUGAACCUCGAUCAUGCACAGGGCUGUGGCUAGCACUAGAAGAUGCAAACAUCACCAAUGGUUGCCUCUGGGCCAUCCCUGGCUCCCAUAAGAAUGGCUUAGUGAGGAGGUUCAUUAGAGAUGAAAAUGGGGUACACUUUGAUCGUCCUUUUCCAUCCUUUGAUCGGAAGGAAUUUGUUCCGAUAGAAGUUAAAUCAGGCACUUUGGUGGUUAUACAUGGUGACCUUAUACAUCAAAGCUUUGAGAAUAAGUCCCCCAGGUCAAGACAUGCCUUAAGCUUGCAUGUGGUAGAUACUGAUGAAUUUAUAUGGGCCAAGGAUAACUGGUUUUUACCAUUCCCCCACCAUAUUCCCCAAACUAUACUGUGGUCAAUAUAAAAGGCAUGGAAGCAAGUUAUCAACACCUUGAUGAGCGUCACAUGGUUUGAUAUAAAUAAAAGGAUAAGAAGAAAAGUAGAACCAGAACCCCUUUAUGUUUCUUGAUUCAAGCACUGUGGCGACAAAAAUCCUGUACAUGUUACUCUCCGUAUCUGUUGUGGUACCUGAUGGAACCAUUUCCAGAAAAAGAUGAUUCUGCUUGUCUUCAUUCCAAGUUCCAUGAUGAUCCAUUUCAUCGACAUGGAGGACUGCUGAUGACUCUUCUAUGAUGAUUAAAUGUUCUUAUGCAAACAAAUUUAAGAAUAAGAGAAACAGAUGUGUAAUAUACUCGUUUGCUUGGCAUGUAUGUUGAGAUGCCCUCGGCACAACAUGUUUUGAAUUAGAAGACUGUGCUAAAGGUAUACACAUAUUUCAAGCUACCUAACCCAUGCAUUUUGUCA